GUUAAGGGAUUGUUUGAGCCGUUCAGAUCAAAGAAGUUUCUUUGGGGUGCUUCAGAAGAGGCCCAAUAAAGUUGGUGCCAAGGAUCCUCACAAAGCUAGGUGGGAGCUUACCUAUGAAGGGACCUGCUAAGAGGUUAUGGAAGUGGUUCUACCCAUGUUAUCACCUUGGCAGUCUCCAUCCUAUCAAGUGCAACUUUAAAGAAGCUGACACUGAAGAUUAUUUGGAAGCCAUAAUCAAUAGAGCACACCACGUGAGCCCAUUAAGAGAACGGCUCCUUCCCACCUGCCACCUCGCGCCAGCCAGCAAUCUCAGCGUCCCCACUCCACUCUUGCUCAUGUAGAGCUAUCCAAUCUGAGUGGCAGGACUUGCAAAGACAGCUGUUGGGCUCCCCACACAUUUGGAGGAGGGGAAAAUAUGAGUUGAAAUACCGCACUCAUUGAACUGCCAGGAAUAAAGCCUGGGAGCGGACACUGGGCUGGUGUGACGUCAAUUUGUUAAGCAACGGUACUGUUCCCUAAAUAUGCUGGAAUUGAGUGCCUUCUUUAUUAAGAAAAA
Lontra canadensis (Northern American river otter) is the source of this 556-nucleotide long non-coding RNA. RefSeq lists it as uncharacterized. The record is from RefSeq and is a predicted model, not a curated record. NCBI's taxonomy places the organism in Eukaryota, Metazoa, Chordata, Mammalia, Carnivora, Mustelidae. The transcript has 4 exons.